GUGCUCGCUUCGGCAGCGCAUGUACUAAAAUUAGAACGGUACAGGGAAGAUUAGCAGGGCCCCCGUGCAAGGAUGGCACGCAAAUUCCUGAAGGGUUCCAAAUAAAU
Nomascus leucogenys (northern white-cheeked gibbon) is the source of this 107-nucleotide small nuclear RNA. Lineage: Eukaryota; Metazoa; Chordata; Mammalia; Primates; Hylobatidae. The record is from Ensembl.